Molecule: small nuclear RNA, 296 nt
Filed under: Jaculus jaculus (lesser Egyptian jerboa)
Lineage: Eukaryota; Metazoa; Chordata; Mammalia; Rodentia; Dipodidae
Description: 7SK RNA (ENSJJAG00000001282.1)
Rfam family: 7SK RNA
About the family: 7SK was discovered as an abundant small nuclear RNA in the mid-70s but a possible function has only recently been suggested. Two independent studies have found that 7SK RNA binds the CDK9/cyclin T complex (known as elongation factor P-TEFb).
Source: RNAcentral
GGAUGUGAGGGCAAUCUGGCUGCAACAUCUGUCAUCCCAUCAAUUUCCAGGGUUGGUUUGGCUGAUCUGGCUGGAUAGGUGGGUGUCCCCUUCCUCCCUCACCAUUCCAUGUGCAUCCCUCCAGAAGCUGCAUGUUUGGUCAAAGAGGAUGACCUUCCCUAAAUAGAGGAGGACUGGUCUUUGGUCAAGGGUAUACAAGUAGCUGCACUCCCCUGCUAGAACCUUCAAACAAACUCUCAUUAUUGAGUUUCGUAGGUGUGGUAGUUUGAUUCAGGUGCCUCCAUAAACUCAUGUAU